Long non-coding RNA from Malania oleifera, 778 nucleotides. RefSeq lists it as uncharacterized. The transcript is spliced from 3 exons. NCBI's taxonomy places the organism in Eukaryota, Viridiplantae, Streptophyta, Magnoliopsida, Santalales, Ximeniaceae. The record is from RefSeq and is a predicted model, not a curated record.
CCUCGGAGAUUAUGCCCAACACGCAUUGCAGAAUAACGUAAGUUUUGCUAUUUUUCUCGGAGUUGAUUUUAAACUUUAAACCACUCUUCCAAGAUUUUUAAAGGGUUUUAAUAUUUCUGCUGCAGGGUACAAAGGUAAACUUGAUAAUUACUGAUUAUUGUAUGCCGGGAAUGAUUGGAUAUGAUCUGCUUAAAAAAAUUAAGGUAGUGCUAUGCAUGCAUGCAUCCUUUUCCAAAUGAAAAAGUUAAAAUGUAAAUAGAGUAACCAUACCUUGCAUAGAAAAGUAAUUGAUAGCUCAGUUUUAUCAUUGUUUCUACAGGGUGUUUCAUGUACGAAUUGAUGCUGAUUCUUCUGUCUUUUUAUCUGCAGAACAGUAGUCAUCCACCAUGAGAGAGAUACCAGUAGUGAUUGAUAACGUUCCCACAAGAAUCAAAAAACAGUGCUUGGAGGAGGGAGCGCAAGAGUUCAUGAUCAAGCCUCUAAAGCAAUCGGAUGUGAAGAAGUUGAGAUGUCACAUUAUGAAUUUGGGCAACCGGGGAACUCUUUGCACGGGAAGGUAAACGGAGCCCCCCACUUGUUACAGUGAAAGAGAACGUGCACUGGAAGGAUCAGCCAAGGCUACAGGAGAAAAGAAAUCAAACGACACAUCAAAACCUUUUAGCAAGAACAUUACAAUUAGCUUUUGCUCUUCCUCGGUAAAUCUAUUAACUUUCUCAGUAAGAGGGGGCAGAACCCUUCAUGUUGUCGUUGGGCCCAUCUCAUUUAUUAAAAUGGAGGC